UUGGAGGGCAAGUCUGGUGCCAGCAGCCGCGGUAAUUCCAGCUCCAAUAGCGUAUAUUAAAGUUGUUGCAGUUAAAAAGCUCGUAGUUGAAUUUCGGGGUCAGUAGGUUGGUCGUGCCACUGGUACGUACUGGUCUCACUGAUUCCUCCUUCCUGAUGAACCGUAAUGCCAUUAAUUUGGUGUUGCGGGGAAACUGGACUGUUACUUUGAAAAAAUUAGAGUGUUUAAAGCAGGCUAACGCUUGAAUACAUUAGCAUGGAAUAAUGAAAUAGGACGUUCGAUCCUAUUUUGUUGGUUUCUAGGAUUGACGUAAUGAUUAAUAGGGAUAGUUGGGGGCAUUAGUAUUCAAUUGUCAGAGGUGAAAUUCUUGGAUUUAUUGAAGACUAACUACUGCGAAAGCAUUUGCCAAGGAUGUUUUCAUUAAUCAAGAACGAAAGUUAGGGGAUCGAAGACGAUCAGAUACCGUCGUAGUCUUAACCAUAAACUAUGCCGAUUAGGGAUCGGAUGAUGUUAUUUUUAAUGACUCAUUCGGCGCCUUACGGGAAAC
RNAcentral lists this ribosomal RNA (547 nucleotides) under uncultured Glomus. Its description in RNAcentral is "SSU rRNA". It matches the Rfam family "Eukaryotic small subunit ribosomal RNA", at positions 548 to 1098 of the family's 1831-position model. Lineage: Eukaryota; Fungi; Glomeromycota; Glomeromycetes; Glomerales; Glomeraceae. The record is from RNAcentral.